AGACAAUCAAGGACAACCCGGGAGGGCAUCAAUGGAAACCAACAUGUGGGGGUGUAGAUGCAAUUUUAAAUGACAAACAAUCAUCUGUAUCUCCAGAUGAUCUCCUCGCUCUUACGCAGCAAUGUUCAAAUGAACUGCUUCAAUUGGAGUUAGAGAAGACCCGUUUGAAUAGUGCGUGUUUCGUUGAGACCAGCCCGUUAGAUUCAAUAUCCCAGUAGCCAAAUUUGCCUACUCGUCUUCCAGAGCUCCGAGCAGAAAUUAUAGAGACGCACAAAUAAUGGAUUCUCCAGUUAGAACCAGACCCAAGCGAAGAUACGACUAUCUACAUCCUCUCUGCAUUGCUACACUGUUAUAACAAAUCUGAAGCGUGUUGGUAAUUAUGAUACCAAUAACUCUCUUCGUUCCAACUUUUGACACCAAUACUCUCUCUGUGUCUAAUUGAUUUAUAAAAUUAAUUCACCUUUUUACUGUAAAUUUACAUGUUUACAAAUUACAAAAUCUUUCUUCUUGACAUCAAUCUUGUUUGCAUCGUGAACCGUGAAUCAGUUCAGUGGUUCUGGUUAAUCAAAAUGUCUGCUGGAGAACAUAAUCAAAAUAGGCAACACCACUUCUAUUAUGAUGAGGCAAGUUAACAAAGGUUUCAAAUACAAUAUCUCAGCUACAUUCAGUUAAAAUGUUUGAAAAAACAAAACACACAAAUACAAAUCAGAAGCUAAGGAAUCAUUAAAAGAGGCAGCUACAGAUUUGUGAACACAAAAACGCUGUAUCUGAAGUCAAGUAGUCCUUAAAGGCGGCGACACCAAGAUCACUCCAUCUCCUCUC
Long non-coding RNA from Brassica napus (rape), 822 nucleotides. RefSeq lists it as uncharacterized. Lineage: Eukaryota; Viridiplantae; Streptophyta; Magnoliopsida; Brassicales; Brassicaceae. The transcript has 2 exons. The record is from RefSeq and is a predicted model, not a curated record.